RNAcentral lists this long non-coding RNA (672 nucleotides) under Sorghum bicolor (sorghum). RNAcentral describes it as "long non-coding RNA (SBIC_LNC015874)". The record is from RNAcentral. Lineage: Eukaryota; Viridiplantae; Streptophyta; Magnoliopsida; Poales; Poaceae.
CGGCUUUAGUAUUUAUGAUGCAGUAAUUAAAGCAAUAAAUGUUUUUGUUUUUUUUUGUAUUAAUAUGCCAACAGAAAUAAAUAUGCUACUAAGUGUAUUAAAGCGAAAUUACUAAUGCAUGCUAAUUUAACUAGAUAACUACCAUUGUGACCAUGUGGCUAGGGUAUGGAAUUUAAAGUCUACCGACAGGACUUAGAUAGCGAAGAGGACUUACUCAGUGGGUUCAUUGUCUGAGGUAUCCUAAGUCAACUCACUGUCUUGUGGUGAUGCGGUACGUGCGUCUUCCUCCCAUCUUGCUUCUGUCUCUUUUGCUUCUUCCUGCUCUAGUUACAACUCUUCAUCUCUGUUCUCCUUUCCCCAGGCUUCUAAUCAGGCUAAGAUCUCCUCUUUCUCUUUCUUGGUGAUUUGGUCCAUCCUUUCAGCUUCUUCGACCCACUCACUCCAUCGGGGUGCUUGCGUGUUCUCUUCUUCCUCCAUGAAGUGGUCUUCAUAUUUCACAAUCUCUCCAGGAAAGUCUUCCCAUCCACUGUGAGGCUAGGUAGCCUGACGGCAGCCUUGGCGUCUUCUCCUGUUGCGUUGCUUCCUGAUCUGCUCAUGGUUAACUAUUGUUCUAAAUUGGCAACGUACCUUUCCAGUGGGUAGGUUGAAGUGGAUAUGCCCUGAUCUGAUGUA